RNAcentral lists this ribosomal RNA (253 nucleotides) under uncultured bacterium. RNAcentral describes it as "partial 16S ribosomal RNA". It matches the Rfam family "Bacterial small subunit ribosomal RNA", at positions 524 to 776 of the family's 1533-position model. The record is from RNAcentral.
UACAGAGGGUGCGAGCGUUAAUCGGAAUUACUGGGCGUAAAGCGCGCGUAGGCGGCCCUGUAAGUCCGUUGUGAAAGUCAAAGGCUCAACCUUUGAAAGCCGAUGGAUACUGCAGGGCUAGAGUCCGGAAGAGGCGAGUGGAAUUCCUGGUGUAGCGGUGGAAUGCGCAGAUAUCAGGAGGAACACCAAUAGCGAAGGCAGCUCGCUGGGACGGUACUGACGCUAAGGCGCGAAAGCGUGGGGAGCGAACAGG